This 486-nucleotide ribosomal RNA is filed under the name Triticum aestivum (bread wheat). Its description in RNAcentral is "partial small subunit ribosomal RNA". The record is from RNAcentral. Lineage: Eukaryota; Viridiplantae; Streptophyta; Magnoliopsida; Poales; Poaceae.
AUGAUCUGGAUUCAACCGGAAGAUCCUAAACAGCUCACACGUAUAUUCAGUAGCCUUAGAGAUGUUUAUAUCUACAAUGUCUUUGCUGAGUGUGAUUUGAAUUGGACAUUCUUUAUCCUUAAAGCUGCACCUUCACUGAAGAACUUCUAUUUAUCUCGACACUCUUGUGAACCCAACAAGUUUGAGGAUAUUGCCAAGAAGACCGACUUGGUGUGGGAAACCUCCAGUUUCAAGCAUUUGAACUUGAAGCUGCUGUUCAUGAAAGGGUUUUCGGAGGAUGAGAAGGUGAUGAACUAUAUAAGACUUGUCAUGAAAAGAUCUAUGGGCUUGAAGAGAAUCGAACUGCAUGAUAAAGACCCAUGUGAGGAGUGCAAAGCCAUAUCCCCCGAGUGUUUAAGGUUUCCUGUGGAUGAAUCUAGCAAGCGUCGGAUUAAGGAGCAACUCACAUAUGGAUUCUCCUUAGAUGUGGAGAUAAUAAUGGGAUGA